This 196-nucleotide unclassified non-coding RNA is filed under the name uncultured fungus. Its description in RNAcentral is "sequence contains ITS1". The record is from RNAcentral. Lineage: Eukaryota; Fungi.
UUAACUUAUUUGUAUAUUACUCGGACAACACAAAAAUCAAGAGUUUAGGGUUCUCUGGCAGGCACGGACCAGCCUAAGCCAGUGGUCAUAAGACGGGCCUGCCAAAGCAACAAAGGUAAUAUAAACAAAGGGUGGGAGAUCUACCCCAAAGGGCAAUUUCUCUGUAAUGAUCCUUCCGCAGGUUCACCUACGGAAA